UACGUAGGGGGCAAGCGUUGUCCGGAUUUAUUGGGCGUAAAGAGCUCGUAGGCGGCUCAGUAAGUCGGGUGUGAAACCUCCAGGCUCAACCUGGAGACGCCACUCGAUACUGCUGUGGCUUGAGUCCGGUAGGGGAGCACGGAAUUCCUGGUGUAGCGGUGAAAUGCGCAGAUAUCAGGAGGAACACCAGUGGCGAAGGCGGUGCUCUGGGCCGGAACUGACGCUGAGGAGCGAAAGCGUGGGGAGCAAACAGG
This 254-nucleotide ribosomal RNA is filed under the name uncultured bacterium. Its description in RNAcentral is "partial 16S ribosomal RNA". It matches the Rfam family "Bacterial small subunit ribosomal RNA", at positions 524 to 776 of the family's 1533-position model. The record is from RNAcentral.